RNAcentral lists this ribosomal RNA (483 nucleotides) under uncultured bacterium. Its description in RNAcentral is "partial 16S ribosomal RNA". It matches the Rfam family "Bacterial small subunit ribosomal RNA", at positions 28 to 507 of the family's 1533-position model. The record is from RNAcentral.
GACGAACGCUGGCGGCGUGCUUAACACAUGCAAGUCGAACGCUGAAGCUCAGCUUUUGUUGGGUGGAUGAGUGGCGAACGGGUGAGUAACACGUGAGUAACCUGCCCCCUUCUUUGGGAUAACGCCCGGAAACGGGUGCUAAUACUGGAUAUUCACUGGUCUUCGCAUGGGGGUUGGUGGAAAGGGUUUUUCUGGUGGGGGAUGGGCUCGCGGCCUAUCAGCUUGUUGGUGGGGUGAUGGCCUACCAAGGCUUUGACGGGUAGCCGGCCUGAGAGGGUGACCGGGCACAUUGGGGCGGGGAUACGGCCCAGACUCCGACGGGGGGCGGAAGUGGGGAAUAUUGCACAAUGGGCGCAAGCCUGAUGCAGCGACGCCGCGUGAGGGAUGGAGGCCGUCGGGUUGUGAACCUCUUUCGCUCAUGGUCAAGCCGCAACAAUGGUUGUGGUGAGGGUAGUGGGUAAAGAAGCGCCGGCUAACUACGUG